Molecule: microRNA precursor, 74 nt
Organism: Medicago truncatula (barrel medic)
Lineage: Eukaryota; Viridiplantae; Streptophyta; Magnoliopsida; Fabales; Fabaceae
Rfam family: MIR5272 microRNA precursor family
Source: Rfam
UUUGAUGUGAAUUGAUUUAUGUUUAGAUACACUCAUAUAAAAGUGAUUAUCAUGACUUGAUGUUGUUUGGAUAG